Molecule: ribosomal RNA, 450 nt
Filed under: uncultured Bacteroidota bacterium
Lineage: Bacteria; Pseudomonadati; Bacteroidota
Description: bacterial SSU rRNA
Rfam family: Bacterial small subunit ribosomal RNA
Source: RNAcentral
GGAUCCAGACUUUGAUCCUGGCUCAGGAUGAACGCUAGCUACAGGCUUAACACAUGCAAGUCGAGGGGAAACGAUAUUGGAAGCUUGCUUCCGAUAGGCGUCGACCGGUGCACGGGUGAGUAACACGUAUCCAACCUGCCCAUCACUUGGGGAUAACCUUGCGAAAGUAAGACUAAUACCCAAUGACGUCCAUAGAAGACAUCUGAAAUGGAUUAAAGAUUCAUCGGUGAUGGAUGGGGAUGCGUCUGAUUAGCUUGUUGGCGGGGUAACGGCCCACCAAGGCGACGAUCAGUAGGGGUUCUGAGAGGAAGGUCCCCCACAUUGGAACUGAGACACGGUCCAAACUCCUACGGGAGGCAGCAGUGAGGAAUAUUGGUCAAUGGGCGAGAGCCUGAACCAGCCAAGUAGCGUGCAGGAUGACGGCCCUAUGGGUUGUAAACUGCUUUUAUA